RNA transcript from Chenopodium quinoa (quinoa), 3906 nucleotides. RefSeq lists it as uncharacterized. The record is from RefSeq and is a predicted model, not a curated record. NCBI's taxonomy places the organism in Eukaryota, Viridiplantae, Streptophyta, Magnoliopsida, Caryophyllales, Amaranthaceae. The transcript is spliced from 14 exons.
GUGUCGAUCUAGGAGGUAGUUUUAGUGGGUUUAGGAGUAGUAGUUUGACUUUCUAUCAAACUCUCUAUCCUAUUACUCCAUUAGAUAUAAUUCAUAUAAAAGGAGUAGUAGUACGUAGGUUAGGAGGAUUAGCCUUAGAUUAGGUAGUUUUUUAGUUUUCUUUUUUUCUUUUAGUUUAGUUUGGUUUAGUUUUCUUUUCUCUUUCUCUCUCUAACUUCUUCUUACUCUCUUUCUCUCUCUCUUCUAAUUAAACUCUUAGAUUUUCCUCUCUCUUGUUUUUCUCUCUAAACUCUUGGUUUAUGCAAUUUGAGCUGUGAUGGACCGCUAUCCGGUAGGGGCACGUGUGUCCCAUACUAAGGGCAAAAAAGUCAUUUCUUGUAUAACACAUGGCAGUAACCCAGUGUUAUUACUGAUGUAAAAAAAUGUUUCCCUCUCCUCUUCCAUAAACUUACUGCGCUAUAAAAAUUGGUCCUUCUCUCUCUCGAAAAUUCGUGGCCGGAAAAAUCGUCGGAAAGAUUGCCAUAAACCCUAGCAGAAAACAGCCGAUUUGAAAGCAUAAAAGGGUGUGGAAAGUUGUGAUUUAUGGUGUCGUUUUUGCCCUGUUGAAGAGCGGUUUUUGAGAUCCUGUAAUUUGCGACAAAAGUCAAAGUACUAUACAGAUCGUUACAUUGUCAAAUUGCUUCGUCGGAACAUAAUUGGAAGGAUUAUUACAUACAUUUACCAGUUGUCGUGCCAUAGCAGGUGGCAGAAAGGGUGGUAGGGGAGGACGAAGAGGUGGCCGGGGUUCGCAAUCUGGUGGGCGUGCGAAUUGUGGUGGGCGUGCGCCAUCUACAGUCGCCGAAAAGGUUUGUAAGAAAAUUGAUUAUGUUGUGUACAUGUGUAGGACAAUACAGUUAGUGAGGGUGGUAAGAUUAAGCUACUUGGUAAAGUUAUCGAAAGAAGCAAUGAGGUGCUGAAAAGGCCUGAAAAUGUAAAUUGUCGGGUGGAGAUGUUUGGUAUGAUUUUGAAUGAAUUUUGUGAGGAAAAAAGGAAAAUAGUUAAGGACAUGGGAUUUGCUAGACUAUUUGGUUUAAUUGAUAGGAGAAUUCCUAGGGAGUUGGCUUAUUGGCUUGCUACAAGGGUUGAUGUACCUAAUUAUUGCCUUGUUACUCCGGACGGGCUAGAGUUUACAUUUGACCCUGUUCAAGUCUAGUGGGUUCUUGGCAUUCCAAGGGGUAGUUUUUCGGUCCGGAAGGAAGCAUUUGAUGAAGAGAUGGAAAAUUUUCUUCAAGUUGUCAUUAACCGAUUCAGCAUGACUACACCUAGCAAUGUGAAAGGGAUAGAUAUGAAAAAUUUAGUGAGUUAGUUCAAGCUCCACUUCAAGAUGUUUAUGAGUUUAGAAUAGCAUUCAUGCGUGGAUAUUUUGUGUCCUACAAUAUCUUAUAGGCUUUGUCCUAAGCUUAUACCCGCAGCCAUUGCAGCAAGUCUGCCUCAAUCCUAUGAUUGGUGCACAUUAGUCCUUGAUCAACUUAUGUAUGCUAUUAAGAGAUUUGCAAGGAGGUUUUACCCAAUGGGGUAUUCCAAAGGAUGUGGAGGCUGUACAAUAUUUCUGUCGAUAAUGUAUCUUGAUCGGUUGAAACGACCCCCAAUGAAGUAGGGAGUUUUUCCCUCGAAUGAUAGUGUGGACAGAAACUGAGAUAACAAUGGCCAAGAAGGCUGACCGUCAUACGAAAGGUGAUUUUGGAAAAUUAGGGUGUGUGAAUGUGGCGUAUGGUAGGCCACAUGUAAGGGAUGCAAUGGACAUUAUGCCAGUUAAAAAAAGAGCUGGGGCUGUUGCUGCUAAGGUUGCUGAAGCUUUGUUGAAAGCUGUUGAUGUAGAAGAGGAGGAGGAUGUAGAGGAAGAACUUAUAUCCACUUAAGGUGCGAAAAAACGGUCAAAGGACAGGGCGGGUUAUUUCGGGUGGAAUAAGUCUUCAGGUUCCUCUUCUGCUGCUGUCCCUGACAUAGAUUUUUUUAUUACAUCUCAAGUGGCUUAAUGUGUAGCACACCUGUGCUAAACAAUCAGUGGGAGGAAACCCAAAGAAGGGAGAAGGAGAGACAGGAGAAGGAAAGGCAGGAGCUGGAAGAAGUUAAGAGACAAAGAAAGGAGAGGGAGGAACGGGAGAGGAUUGAGAAGGAAAGGGAGGCUUAAGAGAAGCAUGACGAGGAAAAGGAAAAGAUUGAAAGGCAGGAGCUGGAAAUUGAUAUACAAAGAAAGGAGAUGGAGGAGCGGGAGAGGCUAGAAAUGGAGGCUACGGAGAAACAUGACAGGGAAGAAAAGGCUUGAAAGGGAGGAAAGAGAUAGAAUGGAGAAGGAACAAGAGGAAUUGGACAAGCUUGAGGCAGAGCGAGAGGAAACAGAAAGGUUGGAGAGAGAGAGGUUGGCGAGGGAGGAAAAAGAGAGGUUGUAAAGUGAGGAGGAAAAACAGAAAAGGAUCCUAUUACGAGGGCUAGAAAUCCAGGAGAGAAGUGAUCAUGAGAUAAGUUUCAGUUCUGAGGAGGAAGGGUUUGAUGAAUGUGGUUCACCGUCGACCUUGGUUGAAAGAAGUCAACGGAAACGGAAGACAACGGCAACACCCAGUCGAAUAGUUCAAGGGUAUGUAAUCACAUGGCGGCCUAGGAAGCAUCGAAGCCUCUGCCAACCAUUGUUUGAUUUUGUAAGAGUGAACACAAAUUUCUCCCCAAGGAGGAGGCAGCAUAGUAACAUUUAAGAAGAUCCGGUCAUGCUAAGGUGUGAUGGAGAGGUAGCAACUCUUAGUAUGUGUUCUGGUGUAGCGCUGAAUAGGGGCCAAGUAGGUAAUGUAGUACACGAUAACAAGUUAUGUUUUUUCAACUGUUAAUAAAGUAAAAAGCUUAUCUGAUUUGAUAUCACCAUGAUGUGUAUAGUAUGUUAGGGUUGCUGGUAAAUUGUAUGAAAAGGUUUGGGCUCAUCGCUUUAAAGGUCGUAGUCGACGGUUCAUGUUGGAUCCUGCAUUUGUGAUUCGUGUUUUGAAAAUGAAGAAUUCAAAAGAGUUGGACCGGGUCACACGUGUGUUUAGUAGUCAGAUGUUUGGUUUAACACCGAACCUGAUUAACGUGGUCUUUGUCCCUGUUGUUUUAAACAAUCACUGGUGGUGUGUGGCCUUUUCGCUUAAUCAGGAAGAGAUUCUAAAGAUGGACUCUAUCGAAACGUCCACUGCUGCAGAUCUCCACUGGCUACAUGUGAAGCAACUGAUGAAGAGAUCAUAUAAAAUGAUGAAGAACCUUCCCCAUCUUCCUCAACAAAUCAAAUGGAGCUAAUUAAUUCCUCGUUUGUUAGAGGAGUAUUUGGCCAGACUUGCUGCCUACAAAGAUGUAGAAUUGGAUAAGAUUCGAGAAUAAUGGGCUAAGUUUUUAAGGCUUAAUUUUUUGUUGAAAGACUAGUUAUCUUAUUAAUCGAUGUUAUGAUUAAUCUCAUUUAACUUAAUAAAACAAUAUAACACUUUUCUUUAUAUCUACUUUUAUUUAGCCUAUUAGUUAUUGUUAUUACAUUUCUAAAUUAUUAAUCAAUUUAUUUUUUUAUUCAAGUUUUAAUUGCGCUGCUUUUUGGAAAGUAUAGUUAAUUUUGUUGCAUUGUAUUGUUGUGGAUGAAUAAUUCAAGUUGUGUGGAAUUAUUUGGAGUGUUUGUAUUGUAUGUUAUGGGUGAAUUUAAGUUAUAUAUGGAAGUAUUCAGAGUACGUAUUUUGUUGGUUGAAUUGUAACAGGUUGUAACCCAUUUGACGAUGGGUCGUUUUGUAGGAUAUAUUAUCAUUCUUGUAUUCGAAUCAAAUAUUUAUAUAAAAAAUUAUUUAUUUAUUAGUAACUAGCGUAAUCAAAUGCUAGUUACUAAUAGUAUUUUUUAAAAAAAAAUUAAAAAAAAUAUAUUUAUAA